This 464-nucleotide ribosomal RNA is filed under the name Vreelandella stevensii. RNAcentral's name for it is "partial 16S ribosomal RNA". It matches the Rfam family "Bacterial small subunit ribosomal RNA", at positions 338 to 794 of the family's 1533-position model. The record is from RNAcentral. Lineage: Bacteria; Pseudomonadati; Pseudomonadota; Gammaproteobacteria; Oceanospirillales; Halomonadaceae.
CCUACGGGUGGCUGCAGUGGGGAAUAUUGGACAAUGGGCGAAAGCCUGAUCCAGCCAUGCCGCGUGUGUGAAGAAGGCCUUCGGGUUGUAAAGCACUUUCAGUGGGGAAGAAAGCCUUGGGGCUAAUACCCUCGAGGAAGGACAUCACCCACAGAAGAAGCACCGGCUAACUCCGUGCCAGCAGCCGCGGUAAUACGGAGGGUGCGAGCGUUAAUCGGAAUUACUGGGCGUAAAGCGCGCGUAGGCGGUCUGAUAAGCCGGUUGUGAAAGCCCCGGGCUCAACCUGGGAACGGCAUCCGGAACUGUCAGGCUAGAGUGCAGGAGAGGAAGGUAGAAUUCCCGGUGUAGCGGUGAAAUGCGUAGAGAUCGGGAGGAAUACCAGUGGCGAAGGCGGCCUUCUGGACUGACACUGACGCUGAGGUGCGAAAGCGUGGGUAGCAAACAGGAUUAGAUACCCCAGUAGC